This 2101-nucleotide long non-coding RNA is filed under the name Mus musculus (house mouse). RNAcentral describes it as "predicted gene, 67564". The record is from RNAcentral. Lineage: Eukaryota; Metazoa; Chordata; Mammalia; Rodentia; Muridae.
AAGUGACGCUGUGCAUGGGGCCUGGCACCGGAUGGGGACUGGCCUGGUAUAAAUUUCUCUCACUCUCUGGUUGCAGGCCUCAGCAAAUCAAGGUGAAGGCACCCACUUCAUCCUCUGUUUCUUUACUCUGUUCCCAAGGGACUCUAAAGGCCCAGCUGCUGCUCCAGUCACACCAUAGGCAAGCAGGGUCUGAGGGAAGACCAUGGCAAAGGGAGCCACCAGCAAGAGCAACCAUUGCCUGAUUCUGAGCCUUUUCAUUCUGCUGAGCUAUCUGGGGACCAUACUGGCAGAUGUGACUUGGCACCUUGGCUCUCCAUAGUUCCACACCACCCGGUCUUCAGUGGUUUGAAGAAGGAAGUCAUGAAAAAGUUAUGGCAGGGAUGGUGUGGGAGGAAUUACAUGGAUAAAUUGCACAGCCGGCAGAAACAAGCAUCUGGUGAUGCCCCCGACACCUGGUGUCUGCAGGGAGAUUAAACCAGUCACCAGACUGGAUAUACUGGGGACAAUGCUAGAAUGUAAGGCAGGCUAUGCUCUGAAGACUUCCUUCUCCUUGGAUUCCUCCCAAGCCCCACACAGGGACUUCUUUGUCCUUGAACUUUCUUUCCCACCAUCCUGUGGUACUUCUAGCAGGUCACAACAGGUACUUUGAGGGACAAGGUAGCCACACCACCCACUUUCUCACUUUUACUCCCUACACCCCUGUUUUUUUCAUCUCCUCCUUUCGUUUCGAUGUUUUGUUUUUAGGCAAGGCCUCACACUACCACUCUCACUGUAGAAUCAGAAACAAUCCCUUGUCUCUUGUGUUCAACCAAAUGCUGGGAUUACAGGUGUGUGCCACCAGGCUCAGCUUCAGUGUCUGUGUGACUCUUCAGCCACCAGCCUGCUCUCCCUUCCCUACCUUUCUAGCCUUCCUCACUUUUCUAUCCACUGAGUGUCUUUUAGACCCUCAUGUAGCAGACGGCAAUCUCCUGCCCAAAGACCACUCAUUAGGAGCUGAAACACCUUGUCCUCUGGAGGCCCCUGGCAAUGAUUCUGGAUGGGGACCUAUGGAAACCUCUGCCCUUGUUCCCAGGCCCCAUGUAAUCUACCUCCUGGCUAGAUAGCAUCAGAUAAUGGUGUUCAUUAGGCAGGAGUGGCUUCUUUAGUUCUGUAAACGUCAACACUAAGUUUUUAUUCAGUCUGGUGGGCCUCACUAUAUUUCUAGUUCUGCAUCAACUACUCAGUUCUGCUUUUGGUGUGACAGUGGCAGAAGGCAACAAUCUGAUGGCUGAGCAGCAGACUUGUCCUCAAACCUAGAUUAGGGUGUUUCCCAUGGACCAGUAUUGGUGCCCAUCCCCCCAGAGUGUCUUCAAGAGUAUUCUGAUAACUACAUCUUUUCCAGGCAGCACUGGGUUCUAUGCUGCCUGUGAAUCUGGGUCAGCUAGAAAUAACAGAAGGAGGUCCUGGGUUUAAAGGUCUUUUGGUCUCUCCAUGGCUGUCCAAUGCAUUCUUUGGAUCCCAUGGGGCACAGAGGACUCUCCUUAAAGCCUGAAGUGCUUGCCCAGGGAGAGGUGGAGAACUGACCUCAGUCUUUUUUUCUAGGUGAGAGAAGAUGAGAUAAGAUUUACAACCAUCUGGAGAACACUAGAUGCUCUGUCAGUCAAGAGUCCUUGUCCCUUUAUCCUAGGGAGCUCUGAACACAUGAGGGACCUGUUGAUUUUCUGCAUCAGUGUCUCAAUUCUGGAUACCUUGUCUGACUGUGAUAUGUCCAUCUAAUACCCUAGUGGGAAAUAGCUCAUCUCAUGAUGCCUUCCUGAGGCCUGAUGGUACUUCCAAUAGCCCGCAAACCAAAUGCCACUCUGUCCCAGAGCCCAUUAUCACCUCAGGAUCCAGGCUGGCUUCUACCCAAGCAAGGUGAUGCUCCAAUUACAAACUGCUCUGGGCCAUUUCCUAGGCUUAACUCCUCUUGCUGAUAGAUUGUUCCAGGCUAUGGAACACUAGAAGGAAAUCCAGUCUUGCUCCUCAUGGGUGUAUUAUCUCAGAAUGCCUUCAACCUACAAGAAUAGAGAUGAACAGGUGUAACUGAGACUCUGUGACCUACAAAUACUUCAAUUUUGACAUC